This 1174-nucleotide long non-coding RNA is filed under the name Manihot esculenta (cassava). RNAcentral describes it as "long non-coding RNA (MESC_LNC008610)". The record is from RNAcentral. Lineage: Eukaryota; Viridiplantae; Streptophyta; Magnoliopsida; Malpighiales; Euphorbiaceae.
GUUUUCUGAAGGGGUAAAGGAAGGAGAAGCAUGCUUAGGUUAUUCAUGGUAGUUUUUGAUGAUUUAUGUAUGUAUACAUGUUGAUGUGUUAUGUUUGUUUUGUUGUUUGGGGUUAUUAGCUAGUUUUGGACCCCUGUGAACAUAUACUUGAGUAUAUGUGUGUUGACUACGUGAAGGAUGCAUGUUAGAAAGUGUUGAAGGGAAGAAGGAGAUGGUUUGCCGUUGAAGCUGAGUUCUGGAUGAACUCAGGUUCGGCAGCCGAAGGUUCAUUCGGCCGCCGAACCUCUUGCAUGGUGGCUUAGGCUGCCACAGCUUGCCCCCGCUAGUUGUGCAUGUUCGGCUCUGUUUGGGGGAUUCGGCCGCCGAAGGUGCCGCCGAAGGUGCUUGAGUUUCGUCUCUGGAGAGGACAUUCGGCCGCCGAACCUGCCGCCGAAAGUGUUCUGUCCAGCUUUCCUUUGCUUGCUUUGCAUGACUAUUAGAGAGAGGUUUAGGGGAUUCUUGGGGAGUUUAAAUAGAGUUAAUCAUAAGCUUGUUUGGUCCCUCAUUUGAGUCAAUCUGUAUAGGUACAGACCAGAGGAACCAGAGAGAGCAGCAGUGAGUACUGCUCCAGAGGUUCAGAACCUGCAGAGUCAGUCAGUCCAGAUAGCCAGAGGUGAGUGGAACUAAACUUAUGACUUUUAAUUGAACUACAAACUGCUUUUGAGCAUAUCUCAUGCAUCAUGUUUAUGCCAUAGGAUGAUUGCAUUAGUAUUCACGAAUAUGUUGCAUUGCAUCGUUAUUUGGUGAUGUGAGUGAAUGCUGAAUGAUCCAAUAGUCUCAGACAGGAAGUCCAGGAGCCUUUGACUACGCCCUGGCAGAUAUAGUGAAGUCCAGGAGCCUUUGACUACGCCCUGGCAGGUAUAUAGUAAAGUCCAGGAGCCUUUGACUACGCCCUGGCAAUGGUAAGUACACAGGUGUUAUAUACACAUAUACAUAUAUGACAGGAAGUCCAGGAGCCUUUGACUACGCCCUGGCACAGAGUUACUGGGACUAUGUGGUGACAGGUUUACUCUUGAUGUGGCUUGUCUAUGAUAUGGUGCAUUCCAUGAGAUCAUAUUUUACUGAGAUGUUUUACUGUUCUACUCACUGGGCUAUAGAGCUCAUCCCACUCCCUUAACCCCAGUUUUGCAGGUUC